Molecule: ribosomal RNA, 478 nt
Filed under: uncultured bacterium
Lineage: Bacteria
Description: partial 16S ribosomal RNA
Rfam family: Bacterial small subunit ribosomal RNA
Source: RNAcentral
ACGAACGCUGGCGGCGUGCUUAACACAUGCAAGUCGAACGAAGCUUGAUUACGGAUUCUUCGGAUGAAGUAUGAUAUGACUGAGUGGCGGACGGGUGAGUAACGCGUGAGUAACCUGCCCUUCUGUGGGGGAUAGCGUUUGGAAACGAACGGUAAUACCGCAUAAUUUAUUUUUUCCGCAUGAUCUAAAUACCUAAGAUUUAUCGCUGAAGGUUGGACUCGCUUCUUUUUAGGUAGUUGGUGGGGUAACGGCCUACCAAGCCGACGAUCAGUAGCCGGACUGAGAGGUUGAUCGGAAAAAUUGGGACUGAGACACGGCCCAGAAUCCUACGGGAGGGAGCAGAGGGGAAUAAUGCAAAAUGGGCGCAAGGCUGAUGCAGCAACGCCGCGUGAAGGAAGACGGUUUUCGGAUUGUAAAAUUAUGUUCUUAGUGAAGAAUAAUGACGGUAGCUAAGGAGAAAGCCACGGCUAACUACGUG